Molecule: long non-coding RNA, 650 nt
Organism: Macadamia integrifolia
Lineage: Eukaryota; Viridiplantae; Streptophyta; Magnoliopsida; Proteales; Proteaceae
Exons: 2
Source: RefSeq, a predicted model, not a curated record
CACCUUGACUCACUUGCCAAUAUGCCAAUUCAUAUCUCUUUAACUUGACUUGUAAAUAUCUCGGUUCUUCUCUCUCUACCAUAAGAUCCUUAUCUUUUUUCUCUAUCUAAUGAUCUAAGUACUAUAAAAAGGGGUUGUGCCUAUGAACCCAAAAGGAAAAAAGGAAAGAUGGCUAAGAAUAAUAAGGCACUUCUCAUUCUUUGCAUCCUAAUGUUUUCAACUGUUUUCAUCCCAACAAAGACACUGGCUGCACGCGCACUUGCGGAGAUUUCUCCAAACAAUGAAUCAACAGAAGUCAGGCAACCUGUAUGGCCAUGGCGGUAUCAAGUCCUCUGCUCUUAUUAAGUGCACAAUUUAUAAGAGAUGCCGGGGUGGCAGAGGUCCUCCACCAUCUCCUUGAGCGAUGGAAAUAUAUUGCAGCUUGGGCGGCCGUACAUCUUUAUCAGAAUCUCUCUCUCUAUCAAAUGUGUUGUGUGCUCUAUAGAUGGAAGAAAAUGCUAUCAGGAAAAAUAAGAUUGAGAUUUAUGUUUUGCAUUAUAUAGUGUGUGUGUGUGCAAUGUUCUCAUGAUGAAGCUAUUAGUAUAUAUAUUAGUGUAGAUCCUCUUUGGAUUGAAUACAUAUAUAUAUAUAUAUAUAUAUACUUUUAUUUC